This 255-nucleotide ribosomal RNA is filed under the name uncultured bacterium. Its description in RNAcentral is "partial 16S ribosomal RNA". It matches the Rfam family "Bacterial small subunit ribosomal RNA", at positions 524 to 776 of the family's 1533-position model. The record is from RNAcentral.
UACGGGGGGAGCAAGCGUUGUUCGGAUUUACUGGGCGUAAAGGGCGCGUAGGCGGCCACCGCAAGUCGACUGUGAAAUCUCCGGGCUUAACUCGGAAAGGUCAGCCGAUACUGCGGGGCUAGAGUGCAGAAGGGGCAACUGGAAUUCUCGGUGUAGCGGUGAAAUGCGUAGAUAUCGAGAGGAACACCUGCGGCGAAGGCGGGUUGCUGGGCUGACACUGACGCUGAUUGUGCGAAAGCCAGGGGAGCAAACGGG